CUAAACUUAAGAUUAGAUACCCUAUUAUUUUAGAGCUUAACAUUGUAAGUAAAUAAUAAUUAUGAAAGCAAAAAAUUAUGGCGGUAUUUUAAGCUUUUCAGAGGAAUUUGCUCUUUAAUGGAUAAAACACCAAAAUCUUACUUAGAUUUGUGAUUUCAAUUUGUAUACCACUAUUAAAACAAUUUAUAACUUUAAUUGUUUAAAUUUACAAAACUAAAAUAUAUUAAGUCAAGGUGCAGUAAAAAUUUAAGGAUGAAGUGAAUUACAUUACUUUUUAGUGAGAUAAGUUUAUAACAAUAUUUAGGAUUUGAAAGUAAAAUUAAAAUAGGAUGUUAAUUUGAAUUAAGCUCUAAAAUAUGUACAUAUCCCCCGUCACUCUUUAUUAAUAUAAAUCCAUUAAAAAGAAACAAUCC
RNAcentral lists this ribosomal RNA (413 nucleotides) under Rhipicephalus linnaei. RNAcentral describes it as "Rhipicephalus sanguineus sensu lato 'tropical lineage' partial 12S ribosomal RNA". Lineage: Eukaryota; Metazoa; Arthropoda; Arachnida; Ixodida; Ixodidae. The record is from RNAcentral.